CGGUUCCAGAAAGAAUCUGCUUCCGGCUUCUCUAGGAGUGCGGGAGGAGGUGACCUCUGUGGUUUUCAUCAAGUUUCUGGGACUCCGACGAAAGGAGCGUAGGGGGAAAGUGUGAAGCUUCAUCGGUGCUGGCCGUAAAGAUCUUGGGCGUUUCUUCCAAAGACACAAGCCAGGAUGCUGCUGCUUGGUGGUGCUUUUUUUGGGUCUCACGAAAGCUUAGCAGCAUUGAAUGGUUGCAUUCGCACAACCAGCAUUAUUCGGCCAGUUGCAGAUUUAAGUGUACCUUCAGCGUCUCCUUGCCUCAUUUAACCCUUAUUAUUUAACCCUUACAAUAGUGGAGCAUAAAAACUCACUCUUGUUGGCAGCAUGCUGCCCAGGCAGGCUAAAGUUGAUCAUGGAUAUUUCUAUCGGAAGCCUGCGGCUCCCACAAACUCGGGAGUGAGUCUGGUUCUCUUCCCUUGUAUAAAAUAAUUUUGAAAAUUGAGAGAACUAAUAGAAAUAAAAAUCACUGAAAAUCAUCCAGAUUUGUGCUUAGGCGAUUAUAACCCUACCUCAAUGUACCUUAGAUUAUUGGAUGCCCCCAAGAAUAACAGAAAUUGGACCUAGAAAAGGGGACCAAAGGACCUGUCCAGGUAGUUGCCAGGAGUUAAGACUGAUUUGAAGGCACAAAAGAGCAAAAUAAAUUUUACAGUUGGAUCCAGCGCAUCUGCGUAUAUAGGUUAAUGCUUAAUGCUUAAUGACUGGUUGCUUAGCGACUUCAAAGUUACGAUGUCCACCCCACUCCAGGUGAAGGUGCUAUAUGAAUUCUCACAGGAACAAAGAAAUAUUUGAAGCAUCGUAAUUUUACUGAAAUUAUGAAGAUUUAUGAAACACAGAAGACUGAUGAGAAUGCAGUUUAAUCACCGAAGCCCCCUGCAGGCGAUGGGAUGCAAUGGAGAGAGAAGUAGAAUAUUUUACUGCAGCAUAAUGCUGAACAGCUGUGCUUGGAGUUGAUCAUUACUCUUCAUGUUGAAAAAAAGUUCAGUCAUAGUCCAUCACUUAGGAAGGUCUUUUAGUGCAAAAGAUUUGGAGGAUAACUAACCAUAAGGACUUAAUUAUGAUGAUUUAGUUGGUAACAGUUGUACAUGACUGAGAAGAACCCCACUAUUGAUACACCUGUGCUACAGCUGGUGGU
Molecule: long non-coding RNA, 1174 nt
Organism: Pantherophis guttatus
Lineage: Eukaryota; Metazoa; Chordata; Lepidosauria; Squamata; Colubridae
Source: RefSeq, a predicted model, not a curated record